CUUUCAGAUACACUGUGUUUUAAAAAGGAAUCCACUGAGAGAGAAUCCAAUUCUCUCCUAGAUAUGCCACAAACUCCACUAGAUAAGUAUUUGCCUCCUCAAUCUGAUCGAAGAGUUCUAACACCUUAUCUAGUUUGUUUCAAUCUUUCAUUAUUGAAUCAUUUGAACAUUUCAAAUGAUUCAGGCCAGACGCACCCAUGCCC
RNAcentral lists this long non-coding RNA (203 nucleotides) under Elaeis guineensis (African oil palm). RNAcentral's name for it is "long non-coding RNA (EGUI_LNC076509)". Lineage: Eukaryota; Viridiplantae; Streptophyta; Magnoliopsida; Arecales; Arecaceae. The record is from RNAcentral.